RNAcentral lists this Y RNA (96 nucleotides) under Colobus angolensis palliatus. Its description in RNAcentral is "Y RNA (ENSCANG00000001358.1)". It matches the Rfam family "Y RNA". Rfam says of the family: Y RNAs are components of the Ro ribonucleoprotein particle (Ro RNP), in association with Ro60 and La proteins. The Y RNAs and Ro60 and La proteins are well conserved, but the function of the Ro RNP is not known. In humans the RNA component can be one of four small RNAs -- hY1, hY3, hY4 and hY5. Lineage: Eukaryota; Metazoa; Chordata; Mammalia; Primates; Cercopithecidae. The record is from Rfam by way of RNAcentral.
GGCUGGUCCAGUGGUAGUGGGUUAUCAGAACUUAUUAACAUUAGUGUCACUAAAGUUGGUAUACAACCUCCAACUGCUAAAUUUGACUGACUUAAA